AAGGGAGACCUAAUUCAGGUAUGGGACGAAAAAAAAGUAGUCGCUACCAAGAAUCAAUCCCAAAAGGUCGGAACGAGGUAUGAGGCUUUCAAACUAGGUUCUGGGUUCAUAAAAGACCUGAAUCAGGAACAAGGGCUAUUAGCUCAGGUGGUUAGAGCGCACCCCUGAUAAGGGUGAGGUCCCUGGUUCGAGUCCAGGAUGGCCCACCUGCACAGGUGGCAAAAACAAGAGAAGCUCCGAAUCAGCACCUUAUCUUAUAUACAUAUAUAAGAGAGAAUGCUGGCUCUGAGUACAGAGUCCAGAGGAACCUUGAAAACUGCAUAGAGCUAGGUGAAAAAGCCAAAAAAGAAGACCGCAA
Molecule: transfer RNA, 358 nt
Filed under: uncultured Microcystis sp.
Lineage: Bacteria; Bacillati; Cyanobacteriota; Cyanophyceae; Chroococcales; Microcystaceae
Description: partial 16S-23S ribosomal RNA intergenic spacer
Rfam family: tRNA (bases 133-206)
Source: RNAcentral